AGUUGGCUAUGAGGAUAUUUAUUCAGCUUUUAAUGCCAGUUCUGCUUCUGAUUAACUGUGAUUGAUAGAGCUGUUACACAAUCUGAGCCUCUC
Small nucleolar RNA from Arachis duranensis, 93 nucleotides. NCBI's taxonomy places the organism in Eukaryota, Viridiplantae, Streptophyta, Magnoliopsida, Fabales, Fabaceae. The record is from RefSeq and is a predicted model, not a curated record.